UGGGGAAUAUUGCACAAUGGGCGCAAGCCUGAUGCAGCCAUGCCGCGUGUGUGAAGAAGGCCUUCGGGUUGUAAAGCACUUUCAGCGGGGAGGAAGGCGAUAAGGUUAAUAACCUCAUCGAUUGACGUUACCCGCAGAAGAAGCACCGGCUAACUCCGUGCCAGCAGCCGCGGUAAUACGGAGGGUGCAAGCGUUAAUCGGAAUUACUGGGCGUAAAGCGCACGCAGGCGGUCUGUAAAGUCGGAUGUGAAAUCCCCGGGCUCAACCUGGGAACUGCAUUGGAAACUGGCAGGCUAGAGUCUUGUAGAGGGGGGUAGAAUUCCAGGUGUAGCGGUGAAAUGCGUAGAGAUCUGGAGGAAUACCGGUGGCGAAGGCGAGCCCCUUGACAAAGACUGACGCACAGGUGCGAAAGCGUGGGGAGCAAACAGG
RNAcentral lists this ribosomal RNA (429 nucleotides) under Chloroflexota bacterium. Its description in RNAcentral is "Chloroflexi bacterium partial 16S ribosomal RNA". It matches the Rfam family "Bacterial small subunit ribosomal RNA", at positions 355 to 776 of the family's 1533-position model. Lineage: Bacteria; Bacillati; Chloroflexota. The record is from RNAcentral.